AAAUAAAAUAAAUUUAAUUGAGAUUUGAGAGGUGUGAGUAUAGAGCCUUUUGUACUCAUAAAUUUUUUACCGUUUGAUCUACCCUUUAAUCAUUUUCAUCCGUUAGAUUAUACUAUUCAACCAACCACCCACUCAACCCUAGGGGGCUCACUAUCAACUUAACCAUAACCAAUCUCAUCCCAACCGCACAUUUUUUCAUCUGAACGACCGAAAAAUUAUGAGUACAAAGGGCUCUAUACUCAUAUAAGUAUAGUAGCCCCAACCUCUAUAUAUAUAUAUAUAUAUAUAUAUAGAGUUGAGCUAGAAUACUAUCGGUAGUAAACGAGCCGUUUUACUACCGAUUUUUUUUCGAUGAUAGAGCUUCCAAAUUGACGAUCGGCUCCGUUAAAUAUGAUCUAAACCAUUUAAACUACCUAGAAAUCAAAUUUCACGCUAUUUCGAUAUUGUUCUUUUAUCCAUCAAGUGAACAGAAAAAUGAAAGGCUGAAAAUGAAUACUCUUUAAAAAAUGAUGAUAAGAGUCUUGUAAUCAAGAUCAAGAGUAUAGAUCUUGUUUUAAAUAGUUUAAAGAAUUUUCU
This 576-nucleotide long non-coding RNA is filed under the name Ananas comosus (pineapple). RNAcentral's name for it is "long non-coding RNA (ACOM_LNC021995)". The record is from RNAcentral. Lineage: Eukaryota; Viridiplantae; Streptophyta; Magnoliopsida; Poales; Bromeliaceae.